UCAACUUGGAAUUUUUAUUUGGUUUGUCUUAAUUAAUGUUAUGUUCCUUUGUUCAACCAAAAAAAAAAAAAAAAACUAACGUUCUUGAAGUUUUGAACACUUUCUCUCUCUAUUCUAUAGUCUCUUCCGAGAUCCGAUUCACGAAGCUUUACAGUUGCUGCAUUUUUUUUUGGGUGAAUGAACUGACAAAGUAGUAGUAAAGAUGAGUAUAUGUUAUCCUUCAACGCCUGGAAAGCUGGCAGUGACAAUGGGAAUGUUUGUUGGUGGUAUUUCUCUAUUCGUUGUUGGUAUUCAUUACUCCUACAAGAAUGUCGGUCCUCAGCAAGCUCGUACAAAAGCUCGAAGUGAUUUCGUUAGGGAGUAUCUUAGGAAAAAGCAUGGGUUCGGUGAGAAGAAGAAAUGAGGUAGAAGUGUCUAGUUUUUGCUUGCUUUCCAAGUUGUAUUUCGAGUAUUGACACAAUUUACAGUUGAUUUGUUAUGGCUUUGAACAUUAGAUGCCAAAUCGAAAUGAGAAGUUUCGAUUUGUGGAGUUGAUUGAUUAAGGUGUUGCUUGAUGUUGUAGGGAUUUUCUUUGAACUUUGCAUUCGUUAGUUAUGUUUUACUGAUGGAUGAUUUGUGGUGCAUGGUUGUUGUCUAUGUAGAGGAAUAGACUUUGGUUUUUAAAACGAAGAUAUUAAGAAAACGGGGAAACCUCGAAUUGUAGCCAUAUUUGUGGCCGGAGUUUCAGGCACAGAAAAGUUUUUAGAUGCAAGUAAACCAGAUCCUAGAGGUUUCUGUGCUUCCGAGGUUGUUGUAGAGGUGUGAGAGGAGGAAAGAUUUGUGCUGCAGCUAUGAAAAAAGUCAAAAAAUGGUAUCUGGCUUUAUCAAUACGAGCCUUAGUGUGCUAAGUUAUUGGUUGGAAACUGAUGCUGUGCUGUAUAUGCAAAGUUUCUGCUCGUUUGGACUGGGUUUUCAAGAUAUCUGGAUUGCACCAUUCUAAAAACCUGGCAAUCAUCGAGUUUUUGCAACAUCGGAUGUGAAACAUAACUAUGAAGGGCUCAUCAUUGAGAGAUUUUCUGUGACAAAAAAGAAAUACAACUAUCUGAAAGGAAGGUUCAAUGUGGAAUGUGAAUCUUUUAGCUUAUGAUUAAGAUGUACUAUCAUUUUGGAAGUUGAAGGAAAAGCCAAGUGGCUGUGCAUCAGUCUUUGGUCGAAGCACGAGGCUAAGAGUAGAUGUAUGUGUAUCUCAAGAGUAGAUGUAUGUGUAUCUCGAUGCUUCUAAGUGGCACGACUGUCUACUCUAUGGAGUUGACAGAAACAGGACACGAGGAUGAAGACUUAUUUGUAUUGAUGGAAGCUUUAAGAUUGUCGGAAAAUCCAUUACUUCAGGUAUUGGCAGAUAAUACCUUAGCUUUUUUUCUUAGUGAAGAAAAUAGAUCAGAACUUGUUGUACUGGUUUAUGUAUAUGUUUCUGCUAUGUACUGGGAAAAGGAAAAGAAGAAGAAAGCAUAAGAUAGUGCCCUAGUUGUUUUCCUUCCUGUGUAUUAAGAAAAGAAGUGGGAAUAAAAUUCUUAAUUCUUCAA
Beta vulgaris subsp. vulgaris (sugar beet) is the source of this 1562-nucleotide long non-coding RNA. RefSeq lists it as uncharacterized. Lineage: Eukaryota; Viridiplantae; Streptophyta; Magnoliopsida; Caryophyllales; Amaranthaceae. The transcript has 2 exons. The record is from RefSeq and is a predicted model, not a curated record.